CGCGGCCUAUCAGCUUGUUGGUGAGGUAAUGGCUCACCAAGGCAUCGACGGGUAGCUGGUCUGAGAGGACGAUCAGCCACACUGGGACUGAGACACGGCCCAGACUCCUACGGGAGGCAGCAGUAGGGAAUAUUGCGCAAUGGGCGAAAGCCUGACGCAGCGACGCCGCGUGGGGGAAGAAGGCCUUCGGGUCGUAAACCCCUUUCAGCAGGGACGAAAUUGACGGUACCUGCAGAAGAAGCGCCGGCCAACUACGUGCCAGCAGCCGCGGUAAUACGUAGGGCGCAAGCGUUGUCCGGAUUCAUUGGGCGUAAAGGGCUCGUAGGCGGUUUGGUAAGUCGGGUGUGAAAACUCAGGGCUCAACUCUGAGACGCCACUCGAUACUGCCAUGACUAGAGUCCGGUAGAGGAGUGUAGAAUUCCUGGUGUAGCGGUGAAAUGCGCAGAUAUCAGGAGGAACACCGGUGGCGAAGGCGGGUCUCUGGGUAGUAACUGACGCUGAGGAGCGAAAGCGUGGGUAGCGAACAGGAUUAGAUACCCUGGUAGUCCACGCCGUAAACGGUGGGUACUAGGUGUGGGUUCCUUUCACGGGAUCCGUGCCGUAGCUAACGCAUUAAGUACCCCGCCUGGGGAGUACGG
This 638-nucleotide ribosomal RNA is filed under the name uncultured Actinomycetes bacterium. RNAcentral's name for it is "bacterial SSU rRNA". It matches the Rfam family "Bacterial small subunit ribosomal RNA", at positions 232 to 885 of the family's 1533-position model. Lineage: Bacteria; Bacillati; Actinomycetota; Actinomycetes. The record is from RNAcentral.